AGUGAACGCUGGCGGUAGGCCUAACACAUGCAAGUCGAACGGCAGCACAGUAAGAGCUUGCUCUUACGGGUGGCGAGUGACGGACGGGUGAGGAGUACAUCGGAUUCUACUUUUUCGUGGGGGAUAACGUGGGGAAAAUUCCGCUACCACAUAAUAAGAUUUACGAGUAAAAGCAGGGGUUCUUCAGACCUUGCCAGCAUGAAUAGGCGGAUGUGGGUUUAGCUAGUUGGGGGGGGAAAGGCCCACCAAGGCGAGGAUCCGUAGCUGGUCUGAGAGGAUGAUCGGCCACACGGGAACGAGGACACGGCCCAGACUCCUACGGGAGGCAGCAGUGGGGAAUAUUGGACAAUGGGGGAAAGCCGGAUCCAGCCAGACCGCGUGGGUGAAGAAGGCCUUCGGGUUGUAAAGCCCUUUUGUUGGGAAAGAAAAGCAGCAGGUUAAUACCCCGCUGUUCUGACGGUACCCAAAGAAUAAGCACCGGCUAACUUCGUG
RNAcentral lists this ribosomal RNA (492 nucleotides) under uncultured bacterium. RNAcentral's name for it is "partial 16S ribosomal RNA". It matches the Rfam family "Bacterial small subunit ribosomal RNA", at positions 29 to 507 of the family's 1533-position model. The record is from RNAcentral.